UUCGACUUUAUGCGGACAAAACGUGUCAAGAAAGCGGUAUUCCUAACCAACAUGACAAAAUAUAAAUGGAAACGACGAUUCAAAUUGGAGGCCCAAGAAUGCUGUCACCCGGACAACAACAAGUGCAAGCUAUUUGUCCAACUUCGCCCGGAGCGUAAGGGGGAAUACAAGAACCUAGAUUGGGAACACAGGUUCUUCA
RNAcentral lists this small RNA (199 nucleotides) under Chlorarachnion reptans. RNAcentral's name for it is "partial transfer-messenger RNA". The record is from RNAcentral. Lineage: Eukaryota; Cercozoa; Chlorarachniophyceae.